RNAcentral lists this transfer RNA (63 nucleotides) under Rhinocola aceris. Its description in RNAcentral is "tRNA-Arg". Lineage: Eukaryota; Metazoa; Arthropoda; Insecta; Hemiptera; Aphalaridae. The record is from RNAcentral.
AAUAGAGAAGUAAAAUUACAUUUAGUUUCGACCUAAAAAUUUAAGAACUAUUCUUCCUAUUUU